This 515-nucleotide ribosomal RNA is filed under the name Magallana belcheri. RNAcentral's name for it is "Crassostrea belcheri partial 16S ribosomal RNA". It matches the Rfam family "Bacterial large subunit ribosomal RNA", at positions 1811 to 2619 of the family's 2925-position model. The record is from RNAcentral. Lineage: Eukaryota; Metazoa; Mollusca; Bivalvia; Ostreida; Ostreidae.
AAACAUCACUAGAAGAAAUAACUUUUAGCAAUACCUGCCCAGUGCGAAAUAUUACUGUAAACGGCCGCCCUAGCGUGAGGGUGCUAAGGUAGCGAAAUUCCUUGCCUUUUGAUUGUAGGCCUGCAUGAAUGGUUUAACGAGGGUUUAACUGUCUCUAAAUUUUUAGUUGAAAUUGUAUUGAAGGUGAAGAUACCUUCAUUAAAAAGUUAGACAAAAAGACCCCGUGCAACUUUGAAAAUUGACUAUAUUCAGAAGUAAAAGAUUUUUAGGUGGGGCGCCUAGAAAGUAAGUCUAACCUUUCUGAAUAGUAAAUUCUCUCUGGAUUUGACCCGAUCAUAUUCGAUCAUAGGAGAAGUUACGCCGGGGAUAACAGGCUAAUCCUUUAGUAGAGCUCGUAUUGGCUAAAGGGAUUGGCACCUCGAUGUUGAAUCAGGGACGAUAGCUUCAAGGCGUAGAGGCUUUGAAAGUAGGUCUGUUCGACCUUUAAUACCCUACGUGAUCUGAGUCCAGACCGG